This 492-nucleotide ribosomal RNA is filed under the name uncultured bacterium. RNAcentral's name for it is "partial 16S ribosomal RNA". It matches the Rfam family "Bacterial small subunit ribosomal RNA", at positions 29 to 507 of the family's 1533-position model. The record is from RNAcentral.
AGUGGACGCUGGCGGUAGGCCUAACACAUGCAAGUCGAACGGCAGCACAGUAAGAGCUUGCUCUUACGGGUGGCGAGUGGCGGACGGGAGAGGAAUACAUCGGAAUCUACUUUUUCGUGGGGGAUAACGUAGGGAAACUUACGCUAAUACCGCAUACGACCUACGGGUGAAAGCAGGGGAUCUUCGGACCUUGCGCGAUUGAAUGAGCCGAUGUCGGAUUAGCUAGUUGGCGGGGUAAAGGCCCACCAAGGCGACGAUCCGUAGCUGGUCUGAGAGGAUGAUCAGCCACACUGGAACUGAGACACGGUCCAGACUCCUACGGGAGGCAGCAGUGGGGAAUAUUGGACAAUGGGCGCAAGCCUGAUCCAGCCAUACCGCGUGGGUGAAGAAGGCCUUCGGGUUGUAAAGCCCUUUUGUUGGGAAAGAAAAGCAGCAGGUUAAUACCCCGCUGUUCUGACGGUACCCAAAGAAUAAGCACCGGCUAACUUCGUG